GGGACAGUGGGGCUCUAUUUUUCCUGCUUUCUUCUCCUAUUUACUGUCAUUCUCUUGGGGGUCUUCACUGUUUGAGGGUGCUGAAGCAGAUGUGCGAUUGGAAUAGUAAGAUGGGGAGAGGAGAACUCCAUGGGAAUUACUGGACUAAUAAUUAAAUUAUUACUGGACUUGUAAAUAAAAGUACUGUGGAGACUGGGUCUCGCUAGCUCUGUGGCCCUUGAUAAGCGGCAUCCUCUCCGAGCCUCAGUUUCCUCAUCUGCAGCAAUAGAAGUUUGAAUGAGAUGGUCUCUAAUGUCCCAUCCAGGUGUGGAAACUAGGAUUUGCUCCCCUUGGCUGAGCAAAUGUAGGGAGGUGAUGUCACUGAGGGGUGAUUGUGAUCAGCGCUUUAGGUAGCUGGAGGGCAGUGAUACCCCCCAGGAUGACCUCAGUUGCCUCUAGCGUCGCCCCCCCCUCCCCAAGGAUUAUUUCCGGACCAGCUGAGGGAUGCCUAAGAGGGGAGCCCUCUGGGCUAUUCCUAGGGCUGAUUCAAGCUCCUUUCCUUCCAGUUCAGUCUCUGUCAUCCCACGUUUGAUGAAGGUCCACAGCCUUGGCUCUGGCGUGAUUUUGCGUUGCAACUUGGAACAAGCCCUUCUUCCUCUACCGCCCUCAGUUUCUCCAUCUGUGCAUGCGGCAUACACACCCCGGCUCAUUUUGAGAUGUAUCUAGGACUGUGGAGAAUCUGCCAAUAGCCAGCAGGCUCAGUUUCCAUUUCAGUGCGGACUUCUCACAGGCAUAGAGAUCCUAAUUAUCAGGGACUUCAAGGCCAGAGCCUACUCCGCCCCCCCCCCCCCCACACACCAUCAAAUGGGCUUCCAAAUGGAAGCUGCAACUCGUGAAGCCCUGCAUUGUAGUGGCCCUAUGCCCAGGAGAAAAGACAACAGGCCUGGGAUCCUUCCUCCCGCCCCAGAACAUUUGUCCCUAUUCUCCCCACUCCAGCCCAGAGCCAAAUCUCAUCGUCACCCUCCCCACUCCUGCAUCCUCAGCCUGCUUCCAUACCGGUUUUGCAAAAUCUCCUGGAACUCAGGUGUUCCCUGAGUUCUUCUGGAUUAACGGGAAGAAUGUUCCUCCUCGCCCUACCCCUCCCUAACCCAGCAGUGUCCUCUCCAUCUUCUCCAACCAGAAGGCAGAGUGGCUCAGCAUAGUUUUGUUAGGGGCCUGGCCUCUGCUCUGGGGACUGUGCACUGCCAAAGGGAGCUUUCCACUGAAAUUGCCUUUCUGGUGGUGUCACCAGUUUUGAACAAAAGACUGGGGCUUAAGAGCCCCUGAGAAUCCUGCCUCUGACCCAGAGACCUAGAUUAUGACCCACUCCUGCAUGCACACACAUACUCGCAUACACACUCUUGAGAGAACCACCAUGUACUCUUGUGAUGGGGUGGUGGCAGGACACUGACCUCCUUUGGUGGGUAUUUUCCAGAAUGUAGACAUCCCAGAAAAAUGGGAAGAUUUCUCUUUUUCUCCCAAACCAUAGAAGCCCUUACCUUCUGUGGCAUCUCAGGCCACUCUUCUAUGUUAGGGAAUCCUGGAAGUGGACCAAACCUUAGAUGAAACCUUGCCUGCCUUCAGCACUGGUAUCUACAUGGGGAGACACUUUCCUAGUAUUGCAGGGGGACCUGCUGCCUGAUGCCCCAAGUCUGCCACUUUAAUUUCCACUCACAGUUGAAGGCCAGGAUAGUGCUACCUUUGCUCACACACCAUCCUCAAGCUCCAGAAUUGUGCACCUUCUCUCUGUGGAAAGGAGAGAUGCUGCAUCUUUUUAAAAAGGCUCCAUCUGUGCUUUUUCUUUAUGGGAGAGGGGAGUGAACAUUAAAAGUGAAACUAGAUUUUUCCAUUGAAAAGAUAAUUUAAUAAAAUUGUAUUUGUAACUGCAUCCCAAACAAAGAGCAAAUAAAGUAUAGAGAAGAACA
Molecule: long non-coding RNA, 1943 nt
Organism: Canis lupus familiaris (dog)
Lineage: Eukaryota; Metazoa; Chordata; Mammalia; Carnivora; Canidae
Exons: 2
Source: RefSeq, a predicted model, not a curated record